This 327-nucleotide long non-coding RNA is filed under the name Nicotiana benthamiana. RNAcentral describes it as "long non-coding RNA (NBEN_LNC040096)". Lineage: Eukaryota; Viridiplantae; Streptophyta; Magnoliopsida; Solanales; Solanaceae. The record is from RNAcentral.
AAUAUAAAACAAAAUACAAAUAUGCACCAUUUAUAGCUGAAUUCACUGAUUUAGUACUAAAUGGAUGUGCAAUGGAUCCAUUGGAACAAGUAGUAAACAACCCUAGUUGUGAUGAGAAAGAUGAUGAACUUCAAAAGGCAGAUUUUUCAAGGAUUACACCAAGACAAAGAAUGGCUAUGAAAAGAUUUAGCCAGAAAGAUGAUGAACUUCAAAAUGCAGACUUUUCAAGGAUUGCGCCAAGACAAAGAAUGGCCAUGAAAAGAUUUAGGUCAAAAUAUAUGUAUUAUUCUUAUUGUUAUGAUUCUUUGAGGUAUUCAGUGCCACCAC